AUUGAGAAUAUGAUAUGAGAAAUAAACUCUGUGGGAAUUAUGGAAACUACUUAUAGUGAAAAUUUUACUUAGGAUCAAAUGAAGUAAGAUGAAAAGACUUGUUGGGGAAAAAUAAGAUAUAUUAUGGAGACUAGUCAUAACAAUCAAGGAAUAUCCUUGUAAUAACAAGGGACAAACCCCGAAAAGAUAUUAGGGACAUCCAGAAAAGCAUUGGACGCAAAAGGGAACCAUACUCUAGACAAUACAUCAGAAGAAUCUAGGAAAGCAUUGGAUGGAAAAGAAACCAAAUUGAAGAUACAUCAGGGACAUUC
RNAcentral lists this long non-coding RNA (311 nucleotides) under Lathyrus oleraceus (garden pea). RNAcentral describes it as "Pisum sativum (pea) long non-coding RNA (PSAT_LNC025503)". Lineage: Eukaryota; Viridiplantae; Streptophyta; Magnoliopsida; Fabales; Fabaceae. The record is from RNAcentral.